CCCGGGGUACACAUGUCAGGGGGACUCCCUUGGAGGGCUGGCUGUGCACGGCCCGGGGGGGGAAGCUCUUUUUGGAAGAGUAAGAUGGGAAGCUGGCCAGAGGCCAGGAGUGGCGCAGGAACCCCUGUGUCAGCCAGGGCACAAGCAGGAGACAGAAAUCAAAGCAGCUUGUUUUUAUAACAGAGAGGAUGCAAGAGCAAGACUUGUUAACGAGGUAACUGCAGAGGCCAAGCAGAAGUCUAAAGCAUCACGGAGGCAGCAUCUGGGAAGCAGCGGCCCCCCCAAGCUGGGGGGACGCAAGAUAAAGGGAGAGACUGAAAUUACGCAAACUUAGAAACUCGGAGGAGGGAUCUGGUGGCUGGGACUCCCAUCUCCGAGGAGUAGGUGCUGCUCAGCGGGUGAUGGUGCCUCCGAGGGGCCCCAGGAAGCUGGCUCUGCGAGUGUCGAGGAAACUGCAGACUGGAUUCAGCUGCUGCCACGGGGACUGGCGCAGAUGGGGCGAGCCAGUGAGGCUGGGUUGGUGCGAGCAGGAACCGGGAGGAAGCGGAGGGAGCAGCCCCGCCACCUCCAGCCCUGCAGCGCGCUCUACCGCCCCCUGUCGGCAGACCCCGGCAGCGCGCGGCUGAUAAAGCCGGGUUUGGCCCGCGGAGCCCCAGCCCCAGCAUCUCACUGCUGAGGACAGAAGGGAAGGCUUGGAGCCAAGAGACUGAGAGCGUUGAAUAACGGGACAUCCUUUCCUAAAGAGUCCACAUCCGAGGAGCCUCAGACAGGAGUGGCCUGGGACCUGGCCAAGAACACAAAUCAAAGGGAGAGGGUUGGGUGCAAGUGCUGCCUGCUCCUGGGAGGAAGCUGCCUUCCUUGCCCGUUGUCCAAACAAUGGAAUUUCCUGGAUUCCUUGCUGCAGUUCUUCAAAGUUCAUGGACAUAUGCUGACUUUUUAAAAGCUCGCUGUUACCAGGGGCAAAAAGAAGCAUAAGAGAAAAAUGCUUACCUUCAGACUCCCCAAGGUAGUCAAAAAAUUCUUCCCAAAGAAAUGACCAACAGCGACAAAACUGCUCACCUGUUCGUCAUGAAUCUGGAUCCUGGCUGUCACACAGCAGGAGAGGGUCUAAUCAUCAAAACUGGGGUCCAGUGGUGUACCAAAUGGGUCCUACUGCCAGGCUAAUCUCACCCCCUUCCUCGUUCCCCCUCUAUCCUCCUCCCCCCACCCCAGCGGCUUCUUGUUCUCUGACUGUUCAAGAUGUUUCUCCCCUCUGCGCCUGUACCCUUGCUGUCUUUUCUGCCCACCCACACCCAUUCCAUUCCUCUGUCCAUUAACAUUCAACAUGGAGAAUGCCACCUUCAGGUGACCCUCUCAGAUUGUAUUCAUGCAGUGAUGGAGCUGGGCAGAGGAACACACUGGAAGGACACCUAAUACAAUCUGAGAGGGUCAGGGUGAGUGGGCAGCAAGGAAGGUGAGGACGUUAUGUUUAAGCUGACACCCAAUGACAAAUGUAGUAGAAUAAAGAGUAACAUCAAGAAGACGAAAUCGGGGACUUCACUGGUGGCACAGUGGUUAAGAAUCUGCCUGCCAAUGCAGGGGACAUGAGUUCGAUCCCUGGUCCGGGAAGAUCCCACAUGCCAUGGAGCAACUAAGCCCGUGCGCCACAACUACUGAAACCCACGCACCUAGAACCCGUGCUCCAGAACAAGAGAAGCCACGGUGAUGAGAAGCCUGUGCACCACAACAAAGAGUAGCCCCCGCUCGCCACAACUAGAGAAAAGCCUGCGCGAAACAACAAAGACCCAACACAGCCAAAAAUAAAUAAAGAAAUUAAUUAAUUAAUUUAAAAAAAAGACAAAAUCAGGGACUUCCCUGGUGGUCCAGUGGUUAAGACCCUGAGCUUCCAAUACAGGGGGUCCAGGUUCGAUUCCUGGCUGGGGAACUAGAUUCCACAUGGUACAACUAAGAGCCAGCACAGACAAAUAUUAAAAAAAAAAGAUGAAACCAUGCAAAGGGCCCCUGAGGCAUGAACAAAUGCAGCACUUGUAUUGUCCUUGUGUGUUUGUCAUCCGUCUCCUCCACCGAGCCGCAGUCUCCAUGACAGGAAGGACCACGUCUAUUUUAUUUGCCAACAUAUGCCCAGUGCCCAGCAUAGUGCCUGCCUGGCACAUAGUAUGUGAUCAGUAUAUAUUAUUGAAUAUUGAGUGAACCACUGCCCACCAUUCUUCCUGCCUAAGACCAGGACCAUUCCUGCAGGUCUGGGUCAUGGGGCCCCAGCUUGGGAGAACAGAGCAAGGCAGAAGCUGCUUUCCUUGUAGUGUCUGGCAGUGAGAGAGGGCCAGAGACUCAGGGCCCAGGUGAGUGAGCCCCAUCUCAGCCACAGCUUUCAAGGCUUCAAGUUCGGGCUGUUUAUUUUCUGUGCUUAUGGGAAUCUGAGAACAGUCUUGGCUGAAUUCAUUCUUAUCUCUCAGCUGCAUGGUAAUUUCUGGGGAAAAAGAAGCUUGGAAUUAAGAGUUCAAAUCCCCCGAAAGCCAUAUGCCAAGCCACAUAGGAGGAAAAAUCCCCAGCUGCCUUCUUUAGUAUAAGGAUGAUAGCAGCUAACUGGCAUGCUGAUCUGGGCCAGCCAAGCCUUUAACUCAAUCAAAACAACAACAACCACAGCAGCUAUAGAAUUCCUGCUGUGGCUGUUGGUUCUAGGGACCCAUCUCCUACCAGCUGCUUUGCAUGUUUUUACUUGUUUGUUUGUUAGUGUCUAGGAUAUUUAAGUUCUUUGAAGGCUCUGGGCCUAUUUCACUCUAUAUCAAAUAUCUUAAAUUCUAACCAACUCUUACAUUAGGUAUAAUGCAUUUUGCUCUUGCUCUAAAACAUUUGAAAGGGUUUUUGUUUCAGCUAGCUAAUGCUGCAUAACAAAUCACCUCAAAACUUAGUGGCUUAAAACAACAGUAUAUUAUCUUUCAUGGGGUGGUUUUUCUGCUCCAAGUAGGAUUAGCUGGGACAGUGGGUAACUAUAAUCAGCUGAAGCACUGACCAGGAGCUCAGCUGAAAUUGAAGUGUCCGGGCUGCCUGGGCAUCUGGAAUCAGUUGGUGCUUGACUGGGAGCUCAGGUGGGGCUGUAAUCUGGGGCACUUGGUUCUUCUCCAUGUGGGCCUUUCUAGGUGACCACUUGGACUGUCCCAUGACAUGGUGGCUAAGUUCUAAGUAGGACUGUGCCAAGAGGAAGCCUUCCAAAAGGAAGGCAGUAGAAGCUGCCAGGUCAAUUAAGGUCCAGUUUUGGAAUUGGUAUAGCAUUGUUUUGUCUAUAUUUUAUCAGUCAAAGCAGUGACAGGCCUGGCCCACAGUUAAUGUGGGAGGGAACACACAAGGGUAUAAGCACUGGGAGAUGUGAACGUCUGGGUCAUCAAAAUGAUCAUCUAAGUUUUUAAAUAAUUAUUACUGUGGUUCCUCAAAAAAUUAAACACAGGAAUACCAGCAAUUACACUUCUGCAUGUAUACCCAAGAGGUUUGAAAGCCAGGAUUUGAAUAGAUAUUUGUAUAUCCAUAGGUACAGCAGCAUUAUUCACAAUAGCUAAAAGGUGGAAACAACCCAGAUGUCCAUCGAUGGAUGAAUAGAUAAACAAAAUGUGGUCCAUCCAUAUGAUGGAAUAUAUUAUUCAGUCUAAAAAAGGAAGGAAAUUCUGAUCCAUGCUAUAACAUGGAUGAACCUGAAGACAUUAUCCUUAGUGAAAUAAGUCAGUCACAAAUGGACAAAUAUUGUAUGAUUCCACUUAUAUGAGGUGCCUAGGGAAGCCAAAUUCAUAGAGACAGUAUAUAGGAUAGUGCUUGCCAGAGGCUGGGGAGAGGAGGGGACGGGAGUGAUUGUUUAAUGGGUACCAAGUUUCAGUUUGAGAAGAUGAAAAGAUUCUGCAGAUGGGUAGUGAUGAUGAUUGUACAAUAACGUAAAUGUACUUAAUGCUAGUGAACUGUGUUUUUGAAAAUGGUUAAAUGUUAAAUUUCAUGUUAUGUAUGUUUUAUCAUAAUAAAAACGUUAUUCUUUUAAA
Globicephala melas (long-finned pilot whale) is the source of this 4019-nucleotide long non-coding RNA. RefSeq lists it as uncharacterized. NCBI's taxonomy places the organism in Eukaryota, Metazoa, Chordata, Mammalia, Artiodactyla, Delphinidae. The record is from RefSeq and is a predicted model, not a curated record.